Molecule: ribosomal RNA, 253 nt
Filed under: uncultured bacterium
Lineage: Bacteria
Description: partial 16S ribosomal RNA
Rfam family: Archaeal small subunit ribosomal RNA
Source: RNAcentral
UACCAGCACCCCGAGUGGUCGGCGCGAUUAUUGGGCCUAAAGCAUCCGUAGCCGGUUCUACAAGUCUUCCGUUAAAUCCACCUGCUUAACUGAUGGGCUGCGGAGGAUACUAUGGAGCUAGGAGGCGGGAGAGGCAAGCGGUACUUAGUGGGUAGGGGUAAAAUCCGUUGAUCCAUUGAAGACCACCAGUGGCGAAGGCGGCUUGCCAGAACGCACUCGACGGUGAGGGAUGAAAGCUGGGGGAGCAAACAGG